Molecule: long non-coding RNA, 515 nt
Filed under: Anas platyrhynchos platyrhynchos (common mallard)
Lineage: Eukaryota; Metazoa; Chordata; Aves; Anseriformes; Anatidae
Description: lncRNA (ENSAPLG00000024568.1)
Source: RNAcentral
UGGCGCACGUGGAGCCGGGCACGCUCACACUCACCCCCGGAGCCUUGCACGCUCAGCACGGGCCAUGCACGCUCGCACUCGGCCUCGUGAGCCUUGCACGCUCACCCCCGGAGCCUUUGCACGCUCAGCACGGGCCAUGCACGCUCGCACUCGGCCUCGUGAGCCUUGCACGCUCACCCCCGGAGCCUUUGCACGCUCGGAGCUUUGCACGCUCACCCCUGGAGCUUUGCACGCUCACCCCUGGAGCUUUGCACACUCACCCUUGGAGCCUUGCACGCUCACCCCUAGAGCUUUGCACGCUCACCCCUAGAGCUUUGCACACUCAGCCCCGGAGCUUUGCAUGCUCACCCCCGGAGCCUUUGCACACUCGCUCUCCGGCCGCGCACGCUCCCCGCAGGGCCAUGCACGCUCCCGCUCAGCCUCCGGAGCCUUGCACGCUCGCCGUGCACCAGGCAGCCCCCGGGCCGUGCACGCUCGCCCCAGGCCGUGCACGCCGGCCCUCACCACCGAGCCAU